Long non-coding RNA from Monodelphis domestica (gray short-tailed opossum), 1550 nucleotides. The record is from Ensembl. NCBI's taxonomy places the organism in Eukaryota, Metazoa, Chordata, Mammalia, Didelphimorphia, Didelphidae.
UGCCGAAUGCUGAGGUCUGAAUCUGAGGGAAAGUAUUGACAAACUGGAUUGCAUGCCCAAGUAGAUGACGGAAAUAUAGAUUGUUGACUAGUCUAUUUGCAAGUAGGAAUUUAUUUCCUUUUGCGUAGCCUCAAAGUCAGUUCCAAUAUCUGAUCUAUUUAGGGCUACAUUUAUAGAACAAGAACCUAGAAUUUUUAAUUCUCUUUAAAUUUGUUUUUCCAGAAGUCAUUGUUAAUGAAUGCACUUUAUAGGACAAUGAUCUUUUAAAGUAAAUUACUGGCUGAAAAUAAAGCCUUUCCUCACUUAGUAUACCAAACUCUAUAGCAUACAGUCAAAGGAGUCUACUAUUAAUGGAAUUUAAGAUUGGGGUCUUCAUUAAAAGCAUGAAGUUGUUGAUGUAAUUGUCACUCUCCCUGCAACAGAAAAGAAUGAAAUGUUUUGCCUCAUUUUCUUAGCCAGACAGAAAGAAUGAAGUGAUGCAUUCACUGUCUACUGGUCACCAUCUCUAAAUAUUAACAAUGGCUUCAGAGGAAGAAAGAUGCAGGAAGUUUUUUUUUUUAAUGAGAAAAACCACAAAAUGUAAGAAUGACAAGAGCCCAGCAUACUUCACAAAUGCUUUAAAAUGACUCAUCAGACAAAUAUGUGUGGCAUUCCAAGAUUCCACCAGAUGGCUGGUUUGGUGUCAGGCUUUAUUCCCUACUACCUAAGUGAAGGAGCUUUGAUUCCAUCUGUGUAUGAGGGCUUCUGGCAUGGAAACUCCCUCCAUGGUUGUAAAUAGGAAAUUCUUCACUAACUAAUGUCUUGGACAAGGAGAAGUUAAACAAUUUGCCCAGUACCACAUAGCUAAUACAUAUUAGAGACAUAAAUUAUACUUAGGACUUUUUGGCUCCAAGAUCAUCCUACAUCCUUUGCAUCAUGGAGCCUCUACACUCCAUUUCAUAGGUGGGAAAACUAAGACUGAAAGAGAUUUUGGGACCAACUUGGGAUCACAAAGCUAUGUAAGCCUUGAGCCCAAGUCUUCUGAAUCAAGGACCAUUCUCAACUCUCUGCCAACUCUACUAUUUUGUCUCUGAAGCAGCUUUGAGGAGCCUUAAUGGAAAGCAAGAAGCAGUGCAAGCCAGAAAAGUCAAACCACUAUCACAACUUUGAAUGCUUUCUCCAAAGGAGUCCAAUAGAGAGUGUCUAGGAGCCUGAAUCCAAGUGCCCUAGAAAUAAUGAUCCCCACAUAUAAUCUGAUCUGUUUCUAGCCAAAGAUCCUCGAGUCAUCCCUGAAGGGAGCAAUCAAUGUUUAGAAGAUUUUUAUUUCCCUUAACACCACCAAUAUAAACUGACAGGAAGCAAGACUAAGAGCUCAGAGAAUGAGUAGCAAUACCCCUACAUGUACCAGUCCUGCUUCCAGCCCCUAAAGUCAUCAUCAUCCCAGGAAAUAAUCCUUGCAUAGAGAACUUAUUAAAUCAGAUACAUUAGAUUGUGAAGUCCUUGAGGGAAAGGGCUGUCUUUGCCUUUUUAUUUUAUCCCUAGCACAAAGCACAGUUCUUGGUAUAUAGUGG